Molecule: ribosomal RNA, 660 nt
Filed under: Triticum aestivum (bread wheat)
Lineage: Eukaryota; Viridiplantae; Streptophyta; Magnoliopsida; Poales; Poaceae
Description: partial small subunit ribosomal RNA
Source: RNAcentral
AUGGCGAGGGGCGAGAACAGCGAGUCGCACGGCAGCGGCAACGUCCCGGCGGCCCCCGCACCAGGGGCAGCGUCAGCGUCCUCGGGGAAGCAGGCGCCGGCGGCUGCGCGUGGCGCGGACGGGCAGUCGGUCGUGCGGCGGCUGCAGUCGGAGCUAAUGGCGCUGAUGAUGGGCGGCGACCCCGGAGUGUCGGCGUUCCCGGAGGGGGACAACAUCUUCCAGUGGGUGGGCACCAUCGACGGAUCCGCCGCCACCGCGUACGAGGGCACCUCCUACCGCCUCGCGCUCGCCUUCCCCAGCGACUACCCCUACAAGCCACCCAAGGUGCGGUUCGAGACCCCCUGCUUCCACCCCAACGUCGACAACCACGGCAACAUCUGCCUCGACAUCCUCCAGGACAAGUGGUCCUCCGCCUACGACGUUCGCACCAUCCUCCUCUCCAUCCAGAGCCUGCUCGGAGAGCCGAACAACGACUCUCCCCUCAACACACAGGCGGCCGCGCUCUGGGCGAAUCAAGAAGGUAAACUCCCCUCCUCCUUUGAACGUCCCAUGUUGAUUGAUCAUCAACCUGUUCUUGGUUCUGAAUCUGCAUGCUUCGUUCUCCUUCUUGUGUGCGCAGAGUUCAGGAAGAUGGUGGAGAAGCUCUACAAGCCGGCGUAA